UACGGGGGGGGCAAGCGUUGUUCGGAAUUACUGGGCGUAAAGGGCUCGUAGGCGGCCAACUAAGUCAUACGUGAAAUCCCUCGGCUUAACCGGGGAACUGCGUCUGAUACUGGAUGGCUUGAGUUCGGGAGAGGGAUGCGGAAUUCCAGGUGUAGCGGUGAAAUGCGUAGAUAUCUGGAGGAACACCGGUGGCGAAGGCGGCAUCCUGGACCGGUAUUGACGCUGAGGCGCGAAAGCUAGGGGAGCAAACGGG
RNAcentral lists this ribosomal RNA (253 nucleotides) under uncultured bacterium. RNAcentral describes it as "partial 16S ribosomal RNA". It matches the Rfam family "Bacterial small subunit ribosomal RNA", at positions 524 to 776 of the family's 1533-position model. The record is from RNAcentral.